UACGUAGGGGGCGAGCGUUGUCCGGAAUUACUGGGCGUAAAGAGAGCGUAGGCGGCACUACAAGUCUCAUGUGAAAUACCCGGGCUUAACUUGGGGGUUGCAUGGGAAACUGUAGAGCUUGAGUACAGGAGGGGCAAGCGGAAUUCCUAGUGUAGCGGUGAAAUGCAUAGAUAUUAGGAGGAACACCAGUGGCGAAGGCGGCUCGCUGGACUGAAACUGACGCUGAGGCUCGAAAGCGUGGGGAGCAAACAGG
RNAcentral lists this ribosomal RNA (253 nucleotides) under uncultured bacterium. RNAcentral describes it as "partial 16S ribosomal RNA". It matches the Rfam family "Bacterial small subunit ribosomal RNA", at positions 524 to 776 of the family's 1533-position model. The record is from RNAcentral.